Molecule: non-coding RNA, 232 nt
Organism: Exiguobacterium sp. AT1b
Lineage: Bacteria; Bacillati; Bacillota; Bacilli; Caryophanales
Source: Rfam
GAACUCGCGAUGAGAAAGAAGAGUAGCGCGAAGGGACGUCUCCAGAAAGCCGGUGGUCGAUGCGAACCGGUGUCGUGCCUUGCGUGAAUGGGCUUUUGAGCGUUCAGACCGACAUGUAGGCUCUGACGGGUCCUCCCGUUAUCGGGGACAGCGAAUGAUGGUUCGCGAUGAGUGGGAAGACAAGGCGUCUUUCAACGAAGGUGGCAACACGGGGAAUCUCCUCGUCCUUCAU